GACGAACGCUGGCGGCGUGCUUAACACAUGCAAGUCGAACGGAAAGGCCCUGCUUUUGUGGGGUGCUCGAGUGGCGAACGGGUGAGUAACACGUGAGUAACCUGCCCUUGACUUUGGGAUAACUUCAGGAAACUGGGGCUAAUACCGGAUAGGAGCUCCUGCUGCAUGGUGGGGGUUGGAAAGUUUCGGCGGUUGGGGAUGGACUCGCGGCUUAUCAGCUUGUUGGUGGGGUAGUGGCUUACCAAGGCUUUGACGGGUAGCCGGCCUGAGAGGGUGACCGGCCACAUUGGGACUGAGAUACGGCCCAGACUCCUACGGGAGGCAGCAGUGGGGAAUAUUGCACAAUGGGCGGAAGCCUAAUGCAGCAACGCCGCGUGCGGGAUGACGGCCUUCGGGUUGUAAACCGCUUUCGCCUGUGACGAAGCGUGAGUGACGGUAAUGGGUAAAGAAGCACCGGCUAACUACGUGC
This 469-nucleotide ribosomal RNA is filed under the name uncultured bacterium. Its description in RNAcentral is "partial 16S ribosomal RNA". It matches the Rfam family "Bacterial small subunit ribosomal RNA", at positions 28 to 508 of the family's 1533-position model. The record is from RNAcentral.